This 461-nucleotide ribosomal RNA is filed under the name uncultured bacterium. Its description in RNAcentral is "partial 16S ribosomal RNA". It matches the Rfam family "Bacterial small subunit ribosomal RNA", at positions 339 to 795 of the family's 1533-position model. The record is from RNAcentral.
CUACGGGAGGCUGCAGUCGAGAAUCUUCCGCAAUGGACGAAAGUCUGACGGAGCGACGCCGCGUGCGGGAUGAAGGCCUUCGGGUUGUAAACCGCUGUCAGUGGGGAGGAAAUGCAUCAGGGUUCUCCCUGGUGUUUGACCGAUCCGCAGAGGAAGCGCAGGCUAAGUUCGUGCCAGCAGCCGCGGUAACACGAACUGCGCGAACGUUAUUCGGAAUCACUGGGCUUAAAGAGUUCGUAGGCGGCCUUUCAAGUCGGGUGUGAAAUCCCUCGGCUCAACCGGGGAAUUGCGCCUGAUACUGGUGGGCUUGAGGGGGAUAGGGGUGAGCGGAACUGAUGGUGGAGCGGUGAAAUGCGUUGAUAUCAUCAGGAACACCGGUGGCGAAGGCGGCUCACUGGAUCUCUUCUGACGCUGAGGAACGAGAGCUAGGGGAGCGAACGGGAUUAGAUACCCUUGUAGUC